This 72-nucleotide transfer RNA is filed under the name Ictidomys tridecemlineatus (thirteen-lined ground squirrel). RNAcentral's name for it is "Spermophilus tridecemlineatus (thirteen-lined ground squirrel) tRNA". It matches the Rfam family "tRNA". Rfam says of the family: Transfer RNA (tRNA) molecules are approximately 80 nucleotides in length. Their secondary structure includes four short double-helical elements and three loops (D, anti-codon, and T loops). Lineage: Eukaryota; Metazoa; Chordata; Mammalia; Rodentia; Sciuridae. The record is from Rfam by way of RNAcentral.
UGGGUUGUGGCUCAGUGGUAGAGCACUUGCCUGCCACAUAUGAGGCACUGGGUUCUAUUCUCAGCACCACAU